GACAGCGUGUCCGAGUGGUUAAGGAGAUGGACUUGAAAUCCAUUGAGCUCUGCCUGCGCAGGUUCGAAUCCUGCCGCUGUCG
Molecule: transfer RNA, 82 nt
Filed under: Perkinsus marinus ATCC 50983
Lineage: Eukaryota; Perkinsozoa; Perkinsida; Perkinsidae
Rfam family: tRNA
About the family: Transfer RNA (tRNA) molecules are approximately 80 nucleotides in length. Their secondary structure includes four short double-helical elements and three loops (D, anti-codon, and T loops).
Source: Rfam by way of RNAcentral